Macaca fascicularis (crab-eating macaque) is the source of this 2353-nucleotide long non-coding RNA. The record is from Ensembl. Lineage: Eukaryota; Metazoa; Chordata; Mammalia; Primates; Cercopithecidae.
UUUUUUUUUUUUUUUUUUUUUAGACGGAGUCUUGCUCUGUGGCCAGGCUGGAGUGCAGUGGCAUGAUCUUGGCUUACUGCAACCUCUGCCUCCCGGAGCCUGGUAAGGGAGGAGACCACCCCUCAUAUUGUCUUAUGCCCAAUUUCUGCCUCCAAAGAAAGAAGAAGUAAAAACUAAAAGGCAGAAAUGAAAUCCACAGGCAGACAGCCCGGCGCCACACCCUGGGCCUGGUAGUUCAAAAUCGACCCCUGACCUAAUCAGUUAUGUUAUCUAUAGAUUACCGACAUUGUAUGGAAAUGGAAAAGCACUGUGAAAAUCCCUGUCCUGUUCCGUUCCACUCUAAUUACCAGUGCAUGCAGCCCCCAGUCACAUACCUGCUGCAGCCCCCAGUCACAUAUCUGCUGCUUGCUUAAUCGAUCACGACCCUCUCACGCGGACCCUCUUAGAGUUGUGAGCCCCUAAGAGGGACAGGAAUUGCUCCCUCAGGGAGCUGGGUUGUUGGAGAUGUGAGUCUUGCUGAUGCUCCAGGCCGAAUAAAGCCCUUCCUUCUUUAACUCGGUGUCUGAGGGGUUUUGUCUGUUACUCAUCCUGCUACACAGGUUCAAGCAAUUCUCCUGCCUCAGCCUCCCGAGUAGUGGGACUACAGGCAUGCACCACCAAGCCCAGCUAAUUUUUGUGAUUUUAGUAGAGACAGGGUUUCACCAUGUUGGCCAGGAUGGUCUCAAUCUCUUGACCUCAUGAUCCACCCGCCUCCGCCUCUUAAAGUGCUGAGAUUACAGGCGUGAGCCACCUUUAGGUUUAGGUUUGCCUUUUUACCUAAACUUUGCAGUGAGGCAAAACCUCCAGCGCUGGCCAGAAGUCUAUUCCUGCUUCCCCUAGCACAGUGGCUGCGUCUCCGCGGGCCUGGGUGCGGCCAAGGCCAUGGUCCGCACUGCUGUCCUCCAGUCGUGCCCCUUCCUGCGGCUGGGGAAGGCAACUGGGCGCUUGCCGGUGACAGCCACAGCACCUGUGCCACGCCGGGCCUCCGACUGUGGCUUUAGAGCCGAAGCUUACUCAUCCUGAUGCCACAGCCCGACUCUGCGUGGAGGGAAAUGAACUUGGUUCUAAGGACCUGUUUCAGACCCUCUGUUGCUGAAGCCCAGCUCCCGCCAACAGGAGAGGGAGAGGGGCACUUCACCUGCCGCUUGCUUUAUUCUCGUAUUUAUUUACCUCCAUAUCUCCAAAUAAUCUGCUCAUUUCACCUUUUCUUGAUUUAUAAAAUUGAAAUACUAUUAGCUUCAGGCAAUUAAAUAUUAGACUCAAAUACACUAACCAGACUUUCAAUUCCCGGUUUCUUUAGCAGAGGGCCCUCCUGGUUCCCCUUUCUCCCAAAGCCCCCUUCCCCCAAAACCUCCUGGCUCCGUGGCAGGGCUGGGUGCGGGGAGCUGCGGGUGGGGUCAGAGGCAGCUGCCACAGCUCCUCCCCGGAUUUCACCGCCUCGCCGCUUUCACCCCCACCCCUGCAGCCUCAGGGAUCAUCAGGCACACCAGGGAGCCCUCCCCUCCUCUGCAGGCCCUGCCCAUGCACUGGGAGCUGUAGCUGUCCGCUCUUUUUCCUCCAACAAUGCCUGUGAUCUAUUUUCCAGCUUCCAAAAAUAAAUAGAAAUUUCCCCAUCAACUGUUAACGUCCCUUCCCAGUCUUUUCACUCUCAGGGAUUUUUUCCUACAGAUUUAUUUUUUCAUGCAUUCCCCACCACCCUGAGCCAUUUUGGUAACUGAGUCCAGGUCAGCCAAGCAGUAUAGGACACUGUUUCCUAAGCAUUGGCUGUGGUGACCUAGUGGCACCAAGAAUUCCCUCAGAAACUUAAUAACGAUGCAAACCCCCAAGUGUCCUCUUUAGUAGGUCUGUCAUGGGCUCUGGAAAUGGAGCGUUACAUCUCUCCUGGGAAACUAAAGCACGUCUCGCCUUGAGGACCAUGGCGUGCACAGUCUCUGCUAGUGGACACUUGGGGGCUGAAUUUUACCACUCCCCCAAAUUCCUAUGUUGAAGCCCUAACAGCCAGGACCUCAGAAUGUGGCUGUAUUCAAAGAUGGGGGUCUUUAGGCCGGGCGCGGUGGCUCACUUCUGUAAUCCCAGCACUUUGGGAGGAUGAGGUGGGCAGAUCACGAGGUCAGGAGAUCGAGAUCAUCCUGGCUAACAUGGUGAAACCCUGUCUCUACUAAAAAAUACAAACAAUUAGCCGGGCGUGGUGGCCGGUGCCUAUAGUCCCAGCUACUCGGGAGACUGAGGCAGGAGAAUGGUGUGAACCUGCGAGGCAGAGGUUGCAGUGAGCUGAGAUCACACCACUGCACUCCAGCCCAGGAGACAGUGCGAG